AACGAACGCUGGCGGCAUGCCUAACACAUGCAAGUCGAACGAAGGCUUCGGCCUUAGUGGCGCACGGGUGAGUAACGCGUGGGAAACUGCCUAUUGGUGGGGAAUAACGACGGGAAACUGUCGCUAAUACCGCAUAAGCCCUUCGGGGGAAAGAUUUAUCGCCGAUAGAUGUGCCCGCGUCCGAUUAGCUAGUUGGUGAGGUAAUGGCUCACCAAGGCGACGAUCGGUAGCUGGUCUGAGAGGAUGAUCAACCACACUGGGACUGAGACACGGCCCAGACUCCUACGGGAGGCAGCAGUGGGGAAUAUUGGACAAUGGGCGAAAGCCUGAUCCAACAAUGCCGCGUGAGUGAUGAAGGCCUUAGGGUUGUAAAGCUCUUUCGGGUGGGACGAUGGUGACGGUACCACCAGAAGAAGCCCUGGCUAACUUCGUGCCAGCCGCCGCGGUAA
RNAcentral lists this ribosomal RNA (449 nucleotides) under uncultured bacterium. Its description in RNAcentral is "partial 16S ribosomal RNA". It matches the Rfam family "Bacterial small subunit ribosomal RNA", at positions 29 to 523 of the family's 1533-position model. The record is from RNAcentral.